RNAcentral lists this ribosomal RNA (495 nucleotides) under uncultured bacterium. RNAcentral's name for it is "partial 16S ribosomal RNA". It matches the Rfam family "Bacterial small subunit ribosomal RNA", at positions 29 to 506 of the family's 1533-position model. The record is from RNAcentral.
AUGCACGCUGGCGGCGUGCCUAAUACAUGCAAGUCGAGCGAACAGACGAGGAGCUUGCUCCUCUGACGUUAGCGGCGGACGGGUGAGUAACACGUGGAUAACCUACCUAUAAGACUGGGAUAACUUCGGGAAACCGGAGCUAAUACCGGAUAAUAUAUUGAACCGCAUGGUUCAAUAGUGAAAGACGGUUUUGCUGUCACUUAUAGAUGGAUCCGCGCCGCAUUAGCUAGUUGGUAAGGUAACGGCUUACCAAGGCAACGAUGCGUAGCCGACCUGAGAGGGUGAUCGGCCACACUGGAACUGAGACACGGUCCAGACUCCUACGGGAGGCAGCAGUAGGGAAUCUUCCGCAAUGGGCGAAAGCCUGACGGAGCAACGCCGCGUGAGUGAUGAAGGUCUUCGGAUCGUAAAACGCUGUUAUUAGGGAAGAACAAAUGUGUAAGUAACUAUGCACGUCUUGACGGUACCUAAUCAGAAAGCCACGGCUAACUACGU